AGUGGAUGGGGAGCAACCUAGUUGUGCGUGUGUAAAGGUAGUGCCAAGAAAAGCGAUGAUCAUGUUGAAAAUCAAUUCCCGGUACCCGAAACCGACACAGGUGGGCAAGUAGAGAAUACUAAGGGGCGCGAGGUAACUCUCUCCAAGGAACUCGGCAAAAUGACCCCGUAACUUAGGGAGAAGGGGUGCCACCGAGAGGUGGUCGCAGUGAAGAGGCCCAGGCGACUGUUUAGCAAAAACAUAGGUCUCUGCAAACUCGAAAGAGGAGGUAUAGGGGCUGACGCCUGCCCAGUGCCGGAAGGUUAAAGAAGUUGGUCAGUUUUAGGAUGAAGCUAGCGACUGAAGCCCCGGUGAACGGCGGCCGUAACUAUAACGGUCCUAAGGUAGCGAAAUUCCUUGUCGGGUAAGUUCCGACCCGCACGAAAGGCGUAACGAUCUGGGCGCUGUCUCGGAGAGAGGCUCGGAAAUAGGAUUGUCUGUGAAGAUACGGACUACCUGCAUUUGGACAGAAAGACCCUAUGAAGCUUUACUAUAGCUUGGAAUUGUGUUCGGGCUUCCUGUGCGCAGGAUAGGUGGGAGGCGUAGAAGGUAUUCUUGUGGGGAUACUGGAGCCAACGGUGAGAUACCACUCUCAGGAGGCUAGAAUUCUAACUUAAUUAAGGACAGUUUCAGGUGGGUAGUUUGACUGGGGCGGUCGCCUCCAAAAAGGUAACGGAGGCGUACAAAGGUUCCCUCAGACUGGUUGGAAAUCAGUCGAAGAGUGCAAAGGCAGAAGGGAGCUUGACUGCGAGAAGUACAGUUCGAGCAGGGUGGAAACACGGUCUUAGUGAUCCGACGGUGCUGUGUGGAAGGGCCGUCGCUCAACGGAUAAAAGUUACUCUAAGGAUAACAGGCUGAUCUCCCCCAAGAGUUCACAUCGACGGGGAGGUUUGGCACCUCGAUGUCGGCUCAUCGCAACCUGGGGCGGAAGUACGUCCCAAGGGUUGGGCUGUUCGCCCAUUAAAGCGGUACGUGAGCUGGGUUCAGAACGUCGUGAGACAGUUCGGUCCAUAUCCGAUGUAGGCGUGAGAAUAUUGAGAGGAGCCUUCCUUAGUACGAGAGGACCGGGAAGGACGCACCGCUGGUGUACCUGUUAUGAUGCCAAUUGUAAACGCAGGGUAGCCAAGUGCGGAGAGGAUAACCGCUGAAAGCAUCUAAGUGGGAAGCCCACCUCAAGAUGAGUAUUCUGGUGUAAGGUCACGGGAAGACGACCCGUAAAUAGGCACGAGGUGGAAGUGCAGAGAUGUAUGAAGCCGAAGUGUACUAAUAGACCGUCGGCUUGACU
Molecule: ribosomal RNA, 1324 nt
Filed under: metagenome
Description: bacterial LSU rRNA
Rfam family: Bacterial large subunit ribosomal RNA
Source: RNAcentral